RNAcentral lists this ribosomal RNA (349 nucleotides) under uncultured bacterium. RNAcentral's name for it is "bacterial SSU rRNA". It matches the Rfam family "Bacterial small subunit ribosomal RNA", at positions 30 to 377 of the family's 1533-position model. The record is from RNAcentral.
AUUGAACGCUGGCGGAAUGCUUUACACAUGCAAGUCGAACGGCAGCACGGGGGCAACCCUGGUGGCGAGUGGCGAACGGGUGAGUAACACAUCGGAACGUGCCCAGUCGUGGGGGAUAACGUAGCGAAAGCUACGCUAAUACCGCAUACGAACUCUGGUUGAAAGCGGGGGACUCGCAAGGGCCUCGCGCGAUUGGAGCGGCCGAUGGCAGAUUAGGUAGUUGGUGGGGUAAAGGCCUACCAAGCCGACGAUCUGUAGCUGGUCUGAGAGGACGACCAGCCACACUGGGACUGAGACACGGUCCAGACACCUACGGGUGGCAGCAGUCGAGAAUUUUUCUCAAUGGGGG